Stegodyphus mimosarum is the source of this 73-nucleotide non-coding RNA. The record is from Rfam. Lineage: Eukaryota; Metazoa; Arthropoda; Arachnida; Araneae; Eresidae.
GUCUUCGUGGUGUAGUUUUCAGCACACUCGACGCUUAACCGAGAGGUCCGUGGUUCGAUUCCCGGCGAGCGCA